RNAcentral lists this ribosomal RNA (491 nucleotides) under uncultured bacterium. RNAcentral's name for it is "partial 16S ribosomal RNA". It matches the Rfam family "Bacterial small subunit ribosomal RNA", at positions 28 to 507 of the family's 1533-position model. The record is from RNAcentral.
GAUGAACGCUGGCUACAGGCUUAACACAUGCAAGUCGAGGGGAAACGCCGGGGAAGCUUGCUUCCCCGGGCGUCGACCGGCGCACGGGUGAGUAACGCGUAUCCAACCUGCCUCUGACUGAGGGAUAACCCGUCGAAAGUCGGCCUAAUUCCUCAUGGCAUCGUCUGCGGGCAUCCAACGACGAUUAAAGAUUUCAUCGGUCAGGGAUGGGGAUGCGUCUGAUUAGCUAGUUGGCGGGGUAACGGCCCACCAAGGCGACGAUCAGUAGGGGUUCUGAGAGGAAGGUCCCCCACAUUGGAACUGAGACACGGUCCAAACUCCUACGGGAGGCAGCAGUGAGGAAUAUUGGGCAAUGGGCGAGAGCCUGAACCAGCCAAGUAGCGUGCAGGAUGACGGCCCUAUGGGUUGUAAACUGCUUUUAUGCGGGGAUAAAGUGAGGGACGUGUCCUUCAUUGCAGGUACCGCAUGAAUAAGGACCGGCUAAUUCCGUG